AUAUCAAUAAGCGGAGGAAAAGAAACCAACAGGGAUUGCCCUAGUAACGGCGAGUGAAGCGGCAACAGCUCAAAUUUGAAAUCUGGAGCCUUCGGCUUCCGAGUUGUAAUUUGAAGAGGAUGUUUCGGUUGCGGCUUGGGCCUAAGUUCCUUGGAACAGGACGUCAUGGAGGGUGAGAAUCCCGUAAAUGGCCCCCGGCUUGCUUCCAUGUGAAGCUCCUUCGAAGAGUCGAGUUGUUUGGGAAUGCAGCUCAAAAUGGGUGGUAAAUUUCAUCUAAAGCUAAAUAUUGGCGGGAGACCGAUAGCGCACAAGUAGAGUGAUCGAAAGAUGAAAAGCACUUUGAAAAGAGAGUUAAACAGUACGUGAAAUUGUUGAAAGGGAAGCGCUUGCAAUCAGACUCGCUUUCGGUUGAUCAACGUUCCUUCUGGUUCGUGCACUCUGCCGUUUGCGGGCCAGCAUCAGUUGGGGCGGCGGGACAAAGACGGCGGGAAUGUGGCUCCCCUCGGGGAGUGUUAUAGCCCACCGUGCCAUGCCGCCAGCCCCGAUUGAGGUCCGCGGUUCGCCUAGGAUGCUGGCUUAAUGGUUGUAAGCGA
RNAcentral lists this ribosomal RNA (593 nucleotides) under uncultured fungus. Its description in RNAcentral is "eukaryotic LSU rRNA". It matches the Rfam family "Eukaryotic large subunit ribosomal RNA", at positions 40 to 647 of the family's 3401-position model. Lineage: Eukaryota; Fungi. The record is from RNAcentral.